AAAAGGGACAGCUCCAAAGGCUUUCACAGAAGGGGAGCCUCUCUAAGAAGUGCUCCUGUGUUUGGGCAAUGGAGGCAAGUCAGGAAGACAGGGGGAUGGAAGAAGAAAGUAAUUUUUUGAAUGUCACAUUUUCACCAAAAUGGCAUCUGGGAACUUUCAAGAUCAUCUGACUAAUACCAGGUUGUAUUCGUUAUUUGCAAAGAUGGAGGUGGAAUCUCCUUUGAAGUAGUACAACCAAAUGAUGUCUGUAGCCUUAAAAUGGGGUAACAAGAGGCAAAGAAAUCUGGGGAGAGGAAACGUGUCCUGCCAGGGGCUGAGGGUCUUUUUUGCUCUCCUCCUGACAGUCUCACAGCCAGCCACGUCGUGGUAGGGUCCCACAGAGCUGCCCAGCAUGGGGCAGGCUGGCCAGAGCAGCUGGCUCUUUGCAACCACCCAGAUUGCCUUUGCUGGGAAGCUCAGGCUCAUUUGCACACUGGCAUAACUCCACGUCACUGACCAGCCCAUGGGCAACAGGACUCACAGCCAGGAUGGGUUCUCCCUGGGGCUGGCACGACUCUGUCACUGCACAUGUGCAUUUUCCUGAUCCUGGGCAAGUUACUGAAACUUUCUCAACCCCAGUUCUCCAGCUAUAAAAUAGGAACACCCCCUACAUCACAGGAUUGUCACAUAAGGGAAAAUGAGGCUAGAGAACCUGGGGUAACGUGGAAUUGACUCUCAGUGAGCCUGGUUCCCUUUCUCUCGCAAUAAAAGCCGGCACCACCUGCUCCAAAGGAGGAGGAUGGAUAUUCUUCUGUUGUGGGUUUCAAUUCCAUGCUGUCAAAUAACCUCUUUAGUCCAAUGCUCUGCCACUUUCAGCCAGGCAUAAGCAAGACAAUUGUCACUGAACAUUAUUGGGAGUAACAUGCAAUGGCACAUGCACUAAUGCGAACAUCAGAAGGAAGACCCGGAGUCUAGUCUAGCCCUAUCACUUCUGCACAGCUUUGGCCUGAGUCACUUAACCCUUCCGAGUGCUGGUCUACUCAUCUGCUAAGUGGGACAAUCACUUCUGACAAGGCUGCUAGGAAGAUUACAUUGAGAGUGCACUGGUGAUUAUUCAGCAUGUCAGGGAGGGCCUACCACUCCGGGCCUCCACGGAGUGGAUGGCUAAGAUCCCCUGACUCCCAGUGCACACUCCUCACACAUGGCUGCACCUCUUUCGGCCUCAGGGGCCAGCGAGGAGCCUACCGACAAGGUGAGGUGAAGAGCGAAGAGAAUCAGUGAUGGAAAUGGAAGCCAGCAGUCAGGGCUUGCAAGCUCAGCCCUUCUCAGGUCCUCCAAGAAGUAAAUCAGCUGAGGGUCAGACCCCAAGGAGCUUCACGGCCAGCAACUCAGCCUGGUUUCCUCUCUUUUCCUCGCAUCACAUUCAGUGACCUAUCAGUCUAGAUAGAGGGUGCUUUUUCAAAUAAACCCUUUUCCAACUUGUCUAGGAGAACAAUCAUAGAUUUUGAUCCCAAAGUUAAAUUGGCCUGUCAGAUACAAAGCUUUCUGGAGCCAGCCAGCAUCUCAGGAUAUCCCACACUCCUCCCAAAUGCAUUACCACCCAGCAGGUAGUGUCAUCGCAGUUUCUCUGGUUUCAGAAUAAUAACUGGUGGGAAAUGCCCAUGGAAUUGACACUCAGCACUUUGAAGAUUUUAUCAGUUGGGUAAAUAUCACCCAGAAGACAGGAGAAACUGGGGUUCUGUUACGACAUCUACAACUAGAAGGAGUGCUGAUCACUUCUUUUCCCCAUAAGGUCUAGGAUCCUAUAACCACGACAGGAUCAGAGGCAACCUGGUGGUGAAAGGUAGACAAACCCAAACUCCUUACAUGCCCAGUUCAGCUGUCCUCACAAUCAUCCUACACAUCACAUGCAUCCUGCUCAAGAGCUCGUGGCCAGCCUCCUCCUUCCUACAGUGCCCUAAUGCCCUAGUGAAUCAAGCCCCACCACAGUGUGGACGCUCGUAACAUACCUGUGACUCCCCCCAGCAGCCUGGGAUCUUCCUUCCACUCCAUUCACGCUCAUCUCUGCUCGGGCUCCAAGCCUCCUGGGCCCAUUCACACCUCUGAGCCUUUGCUCAGGUAUUUCCCACUCUUGCUCUCAGUGGUCUGCCUUCUAUUUGUCUACCCCAACUCUAUGCCUCUUUCUAUACUUCCCCCGCUACUCCAACCUGCACUGGUCCCUUUCCUGAGCCUAACUGGCACUCACAUUUUGCACCAAGUUGGCACUUAAUUUUAAAUGGUCUUGUCUUGAAUAAUAUGCUAACCACCUCUUUCACCUCCUCCAGAACAGAAAAGGUGCCUUACACAGUGGAGAAGCCUUUAGAGCCAGAAAAAUCCUUGAUUGGAAAAAUCAGACUUUACCAGCAAUCACCACUGCCUUUGUCAACUCAAUCUCUCUGAGCCUCAGUUUCCAUCUCUGUAAAAUACGAAUUGUAAUCUUAAUCUCAAAGGGCUGUUAUAUGGCUUUAACAAGUUAAUAUCUAUAAAAAGCCUAGACUCAGUAACUAAUGCAUAGAAAGUAACCCCCAAAAGGUUAUUCCAGUUCCCCUUUGUUUCUUUUAUGUCUUGCAGAACCUAGCACAUUAUGGCAACACAAGACAUUUGGUAUAUGUUUGAUUCAUUUAUAAGUAGUAUAAAGAAAACCAGUAACUGGAGGGUCAUUAUACAAAGUAGCAGCAUGCGGUCAAAACACAUGGAUCUAUUUUUCAAUUACGGACAAAAAGUUGAGAUCUAUGGAGGGUAAAACAGUCUACUUUAACUAAAGAAGUUUUCAGGAUUACAAACUGCCAGUCUCUCUGUACUCAUCACUCAGCCAAGCAGAAGUUUCAGCACAAAUGUUCAUGCUGGCAAUUCAUACUACAUUCUUUCUUACAUAAGUUGUCUCCAUCCCCAAACUCCAUAAUAUGUAUGGUCCACAGAAAGUUCACUUCACGUGCUAAAUGUGGUACAAUCCUUGCUACUUCUUUAAAUCAAACACAGAGCAAAAUUUUUCUGGAGUUCUUUUUAAAAUUAUUUAGAAAGAAUGCCGAUCACUUCUUUUCUGAAGCAGAAUUUUUGUCAUUUAUCUAUAUAUGUAACAUAUAUAAAUAUAAUUGUAUAUAUAAUUAAAUUCGUCUUCUAAUAAGACCUUUCCUCCCCAGAUUGGAGACAACAUAGUAGACAACCAUGAAUAUUAGUGAGGUCAUUCAACCAAAAUCAUGCUGAGAAUAAUAUCCAAGUCCUGUGAGCAAUUAUGAAAUCCAUGCACCAAAGAUGAUGUUGGAUGUGGUGGUGUCCAGUGAGAUGAAAACUGGAGUGGAAUUCAGAUGGAGUUUCAGCAGAACCAUUUUCACCUGGUGGCCUUUUGGCCUUACUGUUCUUACAGUUUCUUCUCACUGUCUCUUUUUCACAUACUUGGCAUUUCUCUGGAGGAAAAUGUGUCUUGCCACUGCAUUCACUUUUCAGCUCGUGGCUCAUGCUACCAAAACAAUGGAAGUCAACAAAAGGCUUGAGACAUUGCUUCAGUGUGAAUAUAAACAAGCCUAGAAAUGUAAUUUUAGUUAGUGAUCAGAAUACAUAUCCGUGAAACUAAUCUUCUCCACGUCUCCCCACUUCCUGGUGGUGAGUUAGGCACCAACUCUUCCAGGUCAUCUAGCUAUAAUGUAAAACAUUACAGAACUAAAUGGGGACCCCAAGAGGUCAUCUAACCCAUGCCCCCAACUCUAUGCAAGAGAAAUGCUUGGCUAUCAGUGAGUUCCGCAUCAGCCUCGACAGUCUAAAAUGCUUGGUGUCAAAAGAACUGCUUGUCUAUUUGUUUUAGGCACCAAGGUGUUUCUCCUGUGCUCCCUGGAGACCAAAUGUAACUGGUCAGUGCCUUUAUCUCAGUGAUACACAUAACAACAGCUAUUAAGUGACCCCUAAUUCUUUUCCCCAAGUUAAACAACCCCAAAUCCACAAACCUUUCCUUAAAGGGCUUAUUGUUCAUCCUGUUAAACAUAUUGUUAAUAAGCUUUUCUGUACUUUUUGGAUUUCCCACAGUCUUUUUCCGCUAAUUCAAACACAGUGGUGUCAAAUAUUAAAUAGAGCUGAAGCAUUGCUUCCCAGACCUUCCACAUCAUUCCUAGUUUAACGCAGCUUGGUUAUCAUGCUUUCUUAAAAAUAAACAACACAAUACUCCUCCAGCUUGUGAUCCACUACGACUUCCAGAUCUAUCUCAGCUAUAAUUGUGCCUUGCCAGGUGAUGGCCAAUAAUACAAUCAACAUAAUCCAGUCAAGCAGAUUGAUGCUAAACCAUUGAUGACCACUGUCAUCACCUCUCAAAAAAGUAUUUCCUAGUCUGGUGUAAAGAAAGAUCAGGUAACCAAACGAUGUGUGUCGUUCACACAAUGUUUAAUAAAAUACAAAGCAUAGCAUUUUCUAACUUUUAGUUUGAAGACUCUUUCUCCUCCUGGUCUAUGCCUGAAAACUAACUUCUGGGUGACUUCAUAUGUGAUCACAGGGUAGAACUUGGAGAAAAUGAAACAGAUAUUUAACCUGCUUAUCCCAAACACUGCCCCUUUUCAGGAAACUUGGAGGUAACUGGGGUAACUUAGCAAUAAACCCCGCUGAAAGUUAUCCUGAGGUCUGAAAGUCACUGAUCCUCUCAGCACAAUGGAGUAUCCACUAACAAUGGCUAAAGAGCAUCUCUUCAAUAAACUUAGCUUGACUACUACCACCUAUCAUGACUAGCUCAUCGACCACCCUUCAGGAUCAUUUCAUGUGCAACUAGUAAGAAGGUUUCAAUUCAGUAGUAGGUCUGGCAUCAGUAAUCUUCUCCACCAUCCAAGGAAGAACAUGUUAUCUUACUGGUUGUUUUGGGAGGUGAAGUAAGAAGUUGGGAAAGUGUGAUUCUGAAUAUGAAGAAUCUGAGUACUUAGGAAGAAAUAUAUCUCAGCAACAUCCUCAACAUUCCAUAAUUAACCACUUUAAGGAGCCACAGCCAUUAAAGAAUCUGUGCUGACCCCAAAGAGACCAUUUCUCUAAUGGCAACAACUCCACAUCUCCCAAGUUGGGCCCCACUCAUUGUCUCCUAUCAUUUGUCUCAUACAGAUGAAACUCUACCAUCUAUGUUCACUUAACUCAUAAGACCCAAGUUGCUAGAGAUGAAUAAUAUUAGUCAUGAUGUCCACAAUGGAGAGUCGCUGUUAUGCAUUGCUGGAUUAUUCAUAGACACUUCUGGUAAACAUGGCACUACUGCAGUUUGGACUCUGUACCAAAACUAGAAAAACUAGUAAACAGCUUUCCAAAAUCUUGUGGUGAGAUUUUUCUGGCUGUGAAACAUUUGUUGCAUUUGGCCAUGAAAUAGUUUACAGUACUGAUCAUGAAAUGCAUCAGUAGCCUUUCACCUGGUAAUGUGAAAUUCUCUUUCCAUAGUCCUGAAGCUUAGAAAAUGCCCUAUUACCACCACCACCACCACCCCCAACUGAGCAGUGCAAUACUCUCAUUUCUAAAUUAGGGAUCAGCAAACUAUGUCUUGUGGGCCAAAUCUGGCCAACUGCUUAUUUUUGUAAAUAAAGUUUUAUUGGAACACAGCCAUGCCCAUUCCUGUACAUAUCCUCUACAGCUGUUUUCAUGCUUCACCCAGAGCUGAGUAGUUGUGACAGAUGUUUGCCUUACAAAGCCUUAAAUAUUUACUAUCUGGUGUGUUACAGGAGAAAUUUGCUGAUCCCCAUUAUAAAUGAUAAGGCAAAAAAAUUUCUUAUUCAGAAUAACCUCCUCUCCAACCCAACAAAAGAAAACAAAACCAGAAAACAACCAUGACCCCAGCGAGUAGUGUUCGCAUACUUAAAAGCCAGCCUAACUCUCUUACAAAGUAUACUCUGAAAUAAGAUGCAUACAAAACAUAAAAUACUAUUUGAUGGCACAGUAGGGUGACUGUAGUCAGUGGUAGCUUAACUGAAUAUUUUAAAAUAAUGUAAAGAGUGUAAUCAGAUUGUUCAUAACUCAAGGGAUAAAUGCUUAAGGGGCCGGAUACCCCAUUCUUUAUGAGUGCUUAUGUUCACAUUGCAUGCCUGUAUCGAAACAUCUCAUGUACCCCAUAAAUAUCUAC
This 6085-nucleotide long non-coding RNA is filed under the name Homo sapiens (human). RNAcentral describes it as "HSALNT0212968". The record is from RNAcentral. Lineage: Eukaryota; Metazoa; Chordata; Mammalia; Primates; Hominidae.